Molecule: ribosomal RNA, 443 nt
Filed under: uncultured bacterium
Lineage: Bacteria
Description: bacterial SSU rRNA
Rfam family: Bacterial small subunit ribosomal RNA
Source: RNAcentral
UGGGGAAUAUUGGACAAUGGGCGAAAGCCUGAUCCAGCAAUGCCGCGUGAGUGAUGAAGGCCUUAGGGUUGUAAAGCUCUUUUACCAGGGAUGAUAAUGACAGUACCUGGAGAAUAAGCUCCGGCUAACUCCGUGCCAGCAGCCGCGGUAAUACGGAGGGAGCUAGCGUUGUUCGGAAUUACUGGGCGUAAAGCGUACGUAGGCGGUGACUCAAGUCAGAGGUGAAAGCCUGGAGCUCAACUCCAGAACUGCCUUUGAAACUAGGUCGCUAGAAUCACGGAGAGGUGAGUGGAAUUCCGAGUGUAGAGGUGAAAUUCGUAGAUAUUCGGAAGAACACCAGUGGCGAAGGCGGCUGACUGGACAUGUAUUGACGCUGAGGUGCGAAAGCGUGGGGAGCAAACAGGAUUAGAUACCCCCGUAGUCCCUGAGCGGGCUGGCAAGGC